This 408-nucleotide ribosomal RNA is filed under the name Escherichia coli. Its description in RNAcentral is "bacterial LSU rRNA". It matches the Rfam family "Bacterial large subunit ribosomal RNA", at positions 1 to 439 of the family's 2925-position model. The record is from RNAcentral. Lineage: Bacteria; Pseudomonadati; Pseudomonadota; Gammaproteobacteria; Enterobacterales; Enterobacteriaceae.
GGGUUGUGAGGUUAAGCGACUAAGCGUACACGGUGGAUGCCCUGGCAGUCAGAGGCGAUGAAGGACGUGCUAAUCUGCGAUAAGCGUCGGUAAGGUGAUAUGAACCGUUAUAACCGGCGAUUUCCGAAUGGGGAAACCCAGUGUGAUUCGUCACACUAUCAUUAACUGAAUCCAUAGGUUAAUGAGGCGAACCGGGGGAACUGAAACAUCUAAGUACCCCGAGGAAAAGAAAUCAACCGAGAUUCCCCCAGUAGCGGCGAGCGAACGGGGAGCAGCCCAGAGCCUGAAUCAGUGUGUGUGUUAGUGGAAGCGUCUGGAAAGGCGCGCGAUACAGGGUGACAGCCCCGUACACAAAAAUGCACAUACUGUGAGCUCGAUGAGUAGGGCGGGACACGUGGUAUCCUGUCU